CGCGUAGGCGGCCACCGCAAGUCAUUUGUGAAAGCUCUGGGCUUAACCCAGAAAGGUCAACUGAUACUGCGGGGCUAGAGUGCAGAAGGGGCAACUGGAAUUCUCGGUGUGGCGGUGAAAUGCGUAGAUAUCGGGAGGAACACCGGUGGCGAAGGCGGCCUUCUGGUCGGAUACUGACGCUAAAACGCGAAAGCGUGGGGAGCAAACA
Molecule: ribosomal RNA, 208 nt
Filed under: uncultured bacterium
Lineage: Bacteria
Description: partial 16S ribosomal RNA
Rfam family: Bacterial small subunit ribosomal RNA
Source: RNAcentral